GCUGAACAAGAAGGAGGAGGAGCUCAAAG
RNAcentral lists this non-coding RNA (29 nucleotides) under Cricetulus griseus (Chinese hamster). The record is from RNAcentral. Lineage: Eukaryota; Metazoa; Chordata; Mammalia; Rodentia; Cricetidae.